UACGUAGGGGGCAAGCGUUGUUCGGAAUUAUUGGGCGUAAAGAGCUCGUAGGCGGCUUGUCACGUCGGGUGUGAAAGCCCGGGGCUUAACCCCGGGUCUGCAUUCGAUACGGGCUAGCUAGAGUGUGGUAGGGGAGAUCGGAAUUCCUGGUGUAGCGGUGAAAUGCGCAGAUAUCAGGAGGAACACCGGUGGCGAAGGCGGAUCUCUGGGCCAUUACUGACGCUGAGGAGCGAAAGCGUGGGGAGCGAACAGG
RNAcentral lists this ribosomal RNA (253 nucleotides) under uncultured bacterium. RNAcentral describes it as "partial 16S ribosomal RNA". It matches the Rfam family "Bacterial small subunit ribosomal RNA", at positions 524 to 776 of the family's 1533-position model. The record is from RNAcentral.